This 506-nucleotide ribosomal RNA is filed under the name uncultured bacterium. RNAcentral describes it as "partial 16S ribosomal RNA". It matches the Rfam family "Bacterial small subunit ribosomal RNA", at positions 29 to 523 of the family's 1533-position model. The record is from RNAcentral.
AGUGAACGCUGGCGGUAGGCCUAACACAUGCAAGUCGAACGGCAGCACAGGAGAGCUUGCUCUCUGGGUGGCGAGUGGCGGACGGGUGAGGAAUACAUCGGAAUCUACUCUGUCGUGGGGGAUAACGUAGGGAAACUUACGCUAAUACCGCAUACGACCUACGGGUGAAUGCAGGGGACCUUCGGGCCUUGCGCGAUUGAAUGAGCCGAUGUCGGAUUAGCUAGUUGGCGGGGUAAAGGCCCAACAAGGCGACGAUCCGUAGCUGGUCUGAGAGGAUGAUCAGCCACACUGGAACUGAGACACGGUCCAGACUCCUACGGGAGGCAGCAGUGGGGAAUAUUGGACAAUGGGCGCAAGCCUGAUCCAGCCAUACCGCGUGGGUGAAGAAGGCCUUCGGGUUGUAAAGCCCUUUUGUUGGGAAAGAAAUCCAGCUGGCUAAUACCCGGUUGGGAUGACGGUACCCAAAGAAUAAGCACCGGCUAACUUCGUGCCAGCCGCCGCUGUAA